Molecule: RNA transcript, 6184 nt
Organism: Scylla paramamosain (green mud crab)
Lineage: Eukaryota; Metazoa; Arthropoda; Malacostraca; Decapoda; Portunidae
Gene name: myosin-11-like
Exons: 2
Source: RefSeq, a predicted model, not a curated record
CGGUGCCACCUCAUCAUUCAUUUCCUGUAUUGUUUUAUCCUUAUAUGUGAUUUUUUUAAGCCGUGAUGGUUUGUGAUGAAACUUACAGUGUUAUCAUAGCAUAAUUUUAAGGGUUUAUAAGGACAGUGGAUGUACGUAUAGUUUAGUAACAUCACUACCUCAUCGUAACUAUAUUACUUGCCUCCGCCCCUCCCUCUCUCCUUCCCUCCUCUCGUCCCUCCUUCCUUCAACCGUCUCUUCCCUACGCCUUCCCACCGCCGCAUAUCCAGACACCUCUGUACACCACAACAAAUUUGAAAAGAGGAUAUGCAGGGAAGAGUUUCAAGUCAUAGUGAAAUAUUGGUAACACUUCAGAAGACGUGGAAGAAAUCGUAUUCAAUCUUAUGUAGGCUGCUCAUAUAUUCAUAAUCCUAUAUACAGGUUUGGGAGUGUCUUGUAUUACGCAUGUCAUCUUUCCUUUUCGUUAUCGUUGUUGUUAUGGUUCUUCUCCUCCUCCUACUCUUCCUCUUCCUCUUCCUCCUCCUCCUCCUCUUCCUCCUCCUCCUGCAGCACUGAAUCUGAGAUGCUUGGGGUUACUCCAUCUUCGUAACGCUUCCCCUUAAGGCAAAUCUUUUCGAUAUUGGAUUACUUCCCGCCACGGACGAGUGACAACCCCGCACGUCCUGACAACCCUAGGAAUCCAAUAAGUGUCGCCAGAAUUUACGACGCUUCGUGAAUAGAAUGAAGUAGAUGGCGACCUGGCAGCGCUACCCCCGCUAAAUCCAGUAAUAGUGGAAGUAAUAGCAGGAGUAUUAGUACGUACGGAGCAGUUUAAGCAGUAGUAGCAGCAGUAGUAGUAGUAGUAGUAGUAGUAGUAGUAGUAGUAGUAGUGGAUAGUAGCAGCCUCAAUGAUAACAAAAAGCAACACUAUAGGCAAAGUUACAUUGUGUGCGUUUGUAUCAUCUGUCUAUUCAGCUGUAAAUGUACCCCAUGUGUGAGUGUGUGUGUGUGUAUGUAUGUGUGUGUGUGUGUGUUGUGCUACACCAGUGAGCUCAGCCACAGUGGUAUAUCACGGUGUGUGCCGGUGUGUGCGUGGCGUGUGCUACCUCUGACAGCGUCCAUCAUGAAAAAAUGCUUUGAACUCCGGAACAACUUGUCGACAGGGAAUAAUGUCCAGCCCCGAAACGAUGCCGCUCAGAUGGAGUGUAACACAUCGCCCCAAAUCGUAGCAGUCGCCUGGUAUUAUGUUACCGUCAGAAUGUAGCAUCGAUUACGUCAUUAAAACCCCUACAGGUUAGAUAUUCCUGCAGCAAGGUUACGUCAAUAUCGAUCGGUUAUUGAAAUAUUUUCACGACAUGAGCGAAAUCAUACUGUAUAUCACUAGAAUCUAUGGAGAUUUAACAGAAGCUUUAAAAUCAUAGAAAAGUUAAUAUUGAUGAAUGUCCUUAGAAAAAAAAAAAAAAUAUCACCAAAUGAUAAUGAGAGACAUUCGUUUCAAAACUUAAGUGACAAUGUAUUUUGCAUGUCUUUCUGAAGAAUUACUGUACUGUUGCUGGAGAGGAAUGAGUCACAAGCAAAUGCUGUUGUAGAGAAUAUAGUGAGUCCGCUUCAUAGGAGGUGAGGCAAAUAUUUCAACCAAAAAUGUUUUUAAAAUAGCAUAGCGUGUAAUAUUAUUUACUUAUUUACUUGUUAUUACAUUCAUUCCUUUAUCCCAGUGACGAGCUGUAAAAAUGUGGUUGUAUUUCCAUUCCAUUCUUUCUAACUGAAAUGUACACCUUUGCCUUUUCAACUCUCUCUCUCUCUCUCUCUCUCUCUCUCUCUCUCUCUCUCUCUCUCUCUCUCUCUCUCUCUCUCUCUCUCUCUCUCUCUCUCUCUCUCUCUCUCUUUGAGGGAACAUUGGGCAACUAUAUGUAUAUAUACAGUAGAUAUGAAUAGAAACAUUCAUAACAAGUGUUACUGGUGCUUAUCUAAUCUAAUAUAAUAAUACACUACUGAUAUGUAUUAUCCGACUUGUAUACGCCAUGUAAGUACACCUUGACACAGCUCUUAUGUGGAAGAAUAGAUUGUGUUAUGUACUGUUUGUGCAGCCUUCCCUGCGCUGCCGCCUGUCACGUGCACUCCAGCGUCCACUUCCUUCUGUACACCAAUCAUUCUUCAAGGAAAGGUCACCGCAGUCUCUUGGCCAUUGAAGGGACGCCUACAGGGAGCAGCGCACACAACAACAGCCCUGGGCAGGCCUUUCCCUUCCAGCAUAGUCCACACACACACACACACACACACACACACACACACACACACACACACACACACACACACACACACACACACACACACACACACACACACACACACACACACACACACACACACACACACACACUGUUCAUUCUUCAUUCUUUAUAUGUACACACAACAGUACCAGAUUCCCUUCUCCUACACCAGCACAUCCUUAAUAGAAGUUUUGCAAUUGUAUCCGCAUGUAGUCCCUCCUCGCCCCUCGCCUCUCAGAGCCUCGCCCUUCCCUCAGGUACACCCACGAGGCUCGCGGAUGUUAUUGUCACAGCCUUGUGUAACGCUGGAUGCCUGUGUGUUCCUUUGCCCAGCGCUGCCUCGCUUGUUUGGGGAGCUUCAAGUUAAGCUAGUAGAGAGAUAGAGGGGAAGGGAGAGAGAGGGGGAGAGAGUACCAGAAACUCCGCCUAACAGACAGACGGACAGGCAGAAAGUGAGUGUAAUAUAAGGUGUACUGGUAAUGCACUUCCGGCCGACAGGACACGUGACAGCCAUUGGAUUCUUAUUUUGAAGUUUUUUUUUUUUUCGCGGGCGGGUGUGGGUUGGAUGUGUUGUACUGGAAAUGUAACGAGGAGGAAAGUGGACAGCAGGUAGACACACACACACACACUCUCUCUCUCUCUCUCUCUCUCUCUCUCUCUCUCUCUCUCUCUCUCUCUCUCUCUCUCUCUCUCUCUCUCCCUCCCUCUCUCUCUCAGUCGCGAGGGACUACCGCCCGUCACCACUUUUGAACUUUAAUACCUAAACUUUUUAAUUCUGAGACGCUCCUCCGGCGGUGCGUCGUGACGAAAAGUUGCUGGCAUUAUUUUUGCAGAGUUUAGCCGCCGCCUUUACAUUUCGUUACGUCCUCCUCUCGGUCAUUGAGUGGCAUCCCUUUAGACACCUGUGGCGGAGAUGACGCGGGCAACACGACAUGGUUAUAGAAGUUUUCCUUCACGCAUUGCUUCCAACUCCCGAAUUUAGUUGUAGUGAGGCUGAGGUGGCGCUGGUGGCGGCUGAGUACUCGCCUUUCUAACCUAAGUGAUACCAGAGUUCGUCCUCUUUAAGUUUGAAAUAGUCAAACUUAUAUCAAUGUUUAAUAUCGAGUUUCUUACAAAUAUAAACAUUUUUCAAGGUUCGUCCAUCUACAUUCACUUGAGUAUUACAUGUAUUUUAAAAAGACUUCCCUCAAAUACGUAUCUACUAAACUAUUCAGGAUGCAAUGCGCGUAGUUUCACGGAUUCUCUGACUUUACUGUGAAUAGAAAAUCUUGCUCACAGAUAUACCGUUGUCAGAUUCGUUAUGGUGUGCGGAGAUGGCCGGAUAUGUGGUGGUGGAAAGGUGGACGAAAGGGAGACACGGUGGAAGACACGAAAGAAGGAGAGUGGGUUGGACAGAAAGAGGGAGGGAGCGCUUGUUCUACAUAACAAUACAUAAAAAGACAAUGAUUUUUAAAGUGUACUGAGAUCUAUUAUGAUUAAAACCUUGAGUAAUGUUAUCAAAACCUUCUAUACUUCAUCACGAAGGCCACGAAAACUACAUAAGGACGGACGCAGAGCCGAGAGGAGGGAGGGAGUGAGGGAGGGGCGGAGGGCGGUAGUGUAGUUAAGAUGAGGCGUUGGUGCUGUUGCUAAACUAUACGUACAUCCAUUGUACUUUUAAAACCAUAAACCAUACUAUUACAACACUAACUUUCAUCACAAACCAUCAAGACUUAAAAAAAAAUUACAUACAAGGUUAAAAUAAUGCAGGAAAUUAAUCAUGAGGUGGCACCUUCAUGGAGGGUGGCACACGUCAGGGAGGUGUAUCACUCCGCCAGCAGCAAACUUGACGUCAUGGGCCAGGGCAUGCAGCGGCGUGCAGUGCGUGGGUAUGGUGACUGUGUGGCCUCUGAUAUAGAGGUGUAUGAGCUGCUGGACGAGAGAAGAGCAAACUAAAAGUAAACAUGGGAUUGCUGCCGCCUCAGGACACUAGGAGCAUUGCGGAAGCGCUGAGGAAGACAUCACAACCCUUGACACAGCGAACACAACUCUGUACUGAGGCUGGCACUGGCUUCUCCCAACACCUCACGUGGUCAUUGCAACAAAAGGAGUUACCAUCCACCAACACCAGAACCACCACCACCACCACCACCACCACCACCUGAAGUCCUACCACAAACAGCAAUACACCACCACAUACAUCAUCACAACCAUUAACACCACCACCACGAGUGUCUAUCAAGUUACCAUCAUCACCAUCACAACCACCAAUAUCAACUUCAUCAUUAUUACAUUCCUUUCCCUCCUUUUAUCAUUUCAUCUACCUUCUAUUCGCUCUUUAUUUAUUUUUCUCUCCUUCACUCCUAGUAUACCACUUCAUAUUCCCUUCUUUAUCCUCUUUCUCCUCUUCCUCCUCCUCCUUAUCCUCUCUUCUCUCCUCUCCUCUCCUAACUUUUUCUAUUCUUCCUUUUUCAUCGACUUCCCUCCACUUCAUGUUCUCUAUCUCCUCUUCACGGCCGCAUUGUAUGGAAGGAAAAAGGAGCACGGAGGCGUAAAAUAAACCCUAAUGAAAGAACUUUACGCAGAUAACUUUGGAAUGAGAGGCAGAUGUGGGACGACAGACUCUCUCUCUCUCUCUCUCUCUCUCUCUGCUCAUCACAUGAAUGCUUUCUAUCAGAUUCAUAGAUAGAUAGAUAGAUAGAUAGAUAGAUAGGUAGAUACAUAAAUAGAUAGAUACCGACAACAAAUUAGAAUUCACACGAAACACAAGAAACACACAUUACAAAUUAACAAAGUCAAAUCAACACGAACGAAUAGUAAUAUGCAUACUAUUCACGGCCCAUUAAACACACACACACACACACACACACACACACACACACACACACACUGGCGUCUCAUUUACUGGACUUCAAGCACUGUUACCGCUGCUCUACCUCGCUACAUUCCGCGCCACCACCUAAUGAUUCGCCAGUGUCGCGUCCCUCACCACUACACCUGUCAUUAUCACACCUGCGGCGGCUCGGUAACAGCAGCAGCUUCAGGUUCCGGUUAGGCAAGUUGAUAUCGCGCGCCCUUCUGCGUCUGGCUAAGGGGAAGUGUGUGUGUGUGUGUGUGUGUGUGUGUGUGUGUGUGUGUGUGUGUGUGUGUGUGUGUGUGUGUGUGUGUGUGUGUGUGUGUGUGUGUGUUGAUAGUAAGUGUCCUUUGUUCUCUUCUGUUUCUCUUUCUUUAUCUCUGCUAUUUUUACCUAUGCUUGUUUCAUCAUCUCGUCUCUUCUCUUAUCUUCUUUCACGUAUCGUCAUUUCAGAUUUUUUUUCUCCUUUUCUCUGGUAUUUUCUUUUCUUAUUUCUCCUCUCUUCUCUUCUCAUUUCUCCUAUGCUGCUUUCAUCUCCAUUUCUUUUCCUAUAUCUUGUCUCCUCAUUUCUCUUCAAGUUUAAUUUUUAUCUUCUCUCUUUUUGUCCUUUCUUCUCUUCUCUCCCUCUUCUCAUUUUAUUUCACUUCGUUUCACUUCAGUCCUAACUCGCUUCUCUUCUCUCUUAGCCUCUCUUCUCCUCUCCUCUCCUCUCCUCUCCUCUCCUCUCCUCUCCUUUCCUCUCUUCCCCUCUUCUCUCCUGUCCUCUCCCCUCCCCUCUUAUCUCCCCAUCUAUACAAAUUUGUCCUCCUACGUACCUGUUGUCCCUCCAUUGCUGUUUUCUGUGUGUCUUUGUACAUUUAUCUUUGUAUUGUUUUUUUGUUUGUUGUAUUUCUUUCCCUUUUCGAAUAUAAAUGUUUGUAUGAUUGAUUUUGUUUUUUUUAGCAUAUUUGUUGUUGACUCGCCAUAUUUGCCUCGUGUGUGUGUGUGUGUGUGUGUGUGUGUGUGUGUGUGUGUGUGUGUGUGUGUGUGUGUGUGUGUGUGUGUGUGUAAAUAAAUUCUCGUAACAUACAACCAUACAACAUUUCACACAAGAGAAUCCGCU